RNAcentral lists this ribosomal RNA (301 nucleotides) under uncultured bacterium. RNAcentral's name for it is "partial 16S ribosomal RNA". It matches the Rfam family "Bacterial small subunit ribosomal RNA", at positions 509 to 807 of the family's 1533-position model. The record is from RNAcentral.
CAGUCGCCGCGGUAAUACGAAGGGGGCUAGCGUUGUUCGGAAUUACUGGGCGUAAAGCGCACGUAGGCGGAUAUUUAAGUCAGGGGUGAAAUCCCAGAGCUCAACUCUGGAACUGCCUCUGAUACUGGGUAUCUUGAGUAUGGAAGAGGUGAGUGGAAUUCCGAGUGUAGAGGUGAAAUUCGUAGAUAUUCGGAGGAACACCAGUGGCGAAGGCGGCUCACUGGUCCAUUACUGACGCUGAGGUGCGAAAGCGUGGGGAGCAAACAGGAUUAGAUACCCCUGUAGUCCCUGUCUCUUAUAC